RNAcentral lists this ribosomal RNA (120 nucleotides) under uncultured bacterium. RNAcentral's name for it is "partial 16S ribosomal RNA". It matches the Rfam family "Bacterial small subunit ribosomal RNA", at positions 1384 to 1501 of the family's 1533-position model. The record is from RNAcentral.
UACACACCGCCCGUCACAUCACGAAAGUUGGUUGUACCGGAAGCCGGUGCGCUAACCCUUCGGGGAAGCAGCCGUCCAUGGUAUGUUCAGCGAUUGGGGUGAAGUCGUAACAAGGUACCC